UCUCAAAGAUUAAGCCAUGCAUGUCUCAGUACAAGCCAAAUUAAGGUGAAACCGCGAAAGGCUCAUUAAAUCAGUUAUGGUUCCUUAGAUCGUACCCACAUUUACUUGGAUAACUGUGGUAAUUCUAGAGCUAAUACAUGCAAACAGAGCUCCGACCGGAGACGGAAGGAGCGCUUUUAUUAGAUCAAAACCAAUCGGUGGCGGGUCUCCCGUCACCGUACACCUUGGUGACUCUGAAUAACUUAUUGCUGAUCGCACGGUCUCGCACCGGCGACGCAUCUUUCAAAUGUCUGCCUUAUCAACUGUCGAUGGUAGGUUCUGCGCCUACCAUGGUUGUAACGGGUAACGGGGAAUCAGGGUUCGAUUCCGGAGAGGGAGCCUGAGAAACGGCUACCACAUCCAAGGAAGGCAGCAGGCGCGCAAAUUACCCACUCCCGGCACGGGGAGGUAGUGACGAAAAAUAACGAUACGGGACUCAUCCGAGGCCCCGUAAUCGGAAUGAGUACACUCUAAACCCUUUAACGAGGAUCAAUUGGAGGGCAAGUCUGGUGCCAGCAGCCGCGGUAAUUCCAGCUCCAAUAGCGUAUAUUAAAGUUGUUGCGGUUAAAAAGCUCGUAGUCGAAUUUGUGUCCCGCGCCGCCGGUUCAUCGCUCGCGGUGUCAACUGGCGUGUCCGCGGGACGUCCUGCCGGUGGGCUUAGCCCCCCGUGGGCGGCCCAAUCUCAAUCCCACCGCGGUGCUCUUCACUGAGUGUCGAGGUGGGCCGGCACGUUUACUUUGAACAAAUUAGAGUGCUUAAAGCAGGCUAAAACAUCGCCUGAAUACUGUGUGCAUGGAAUAAUGGAAUAGGACCUCGGUUCUAUUUUGUUGGUUUUCGGAACCCCGAGGUAAUGAUUAAUAGGAACGGAUGGGGGCAUUCGUAUUGCGACGUUAG
RNAcentral lists this ribosomal RNA (933 nucleotides) under Lepanus ustulatus. RNAcentral's name for it is "SSU rRNA". It matches the Rfam family "Eukaryotic small subunit ribosomal RNA", at positions 35 to 908 of the family's 1831-position model. Lineage: Eukaryota; Metazoa; Arthropoda; Insecta; Coleoptera; Scarabaeidae. The record is from RNAcentral.